UGAACGCUGGCGGCGUGCCUAACACAUGCAAGUCGAACGGAGAUAAGACGCUGACGAGACUUCGGUCAAAUCUGUUUAUCUUAGUGGCGGACGGGUGAGUAACGCGUGGGCAACCUGCCUCAUACUGGGGGGAUAGCAGUUGGAAACGACUGAUAAUACCGCAUAAGCGCACGGAGUCGCAUGACUCAGUGUGAAAAACUCCGGUGGUAUGAGAUGGGCCCGCGUCAGAUUAGCCAGUUGGCAGGGUAACGGCCUACCAAAGCGACGAUCUGUAGCCGGCCUGAGAGGGCGGACGGCCACAUUGGGACUGAGACACGGCCCAAACUCCUACGGGAGGCAGCAGUGGGGGAUAUUGCACAAUGGAGGAAACUCUGAUGCAGCGACGCCGCGUGAAGUGAAGAAGUAUUUCGGUAUGUAAAGCUCUAUCAGCAGGGAAGAAAGGCUCCGCAAGGAGAGAUGACGGUACCUGACUAAGAAGCCCCGGCUAACUACGUGCCAGCAGCCGC
RNAcentral lists this ribosomal RNA (506 nucleotides) under uncultured bacterium. RNAcentral's name for it is "bacterial SSU rRNA". It matches the Rfam family "Bacterial small subunit ribosomal RNA", at positions 30 to 518 of the family's 1533-position model. The record is from RNAcentral.